GGGGCCAUGAUUCGGAGGGUUCUGCCGCACGGCUUGGGCCGGGGCCUCUUGACCCGGAAGCCAGGCACGCGCAGAGGAGGCUUUUCUCUGGUGCUUGGCACAAUGCAUGAAAAGGGAGACUGAUGGCAUGUGGACUACUCAGAAAACUGUGGCAACACUGUUGGGUGCAAGGUGACCUUUUGAGAUGGGCUGACAGUGGGGACUGCCAACUCAUGUGUCUGUUUAGCUCAGCUUUUCCUGUACCCAUCCUCCGUCCCCCCAGCCAUGUGGGAAGGAAAUGUUUGGCCCUCUGACCCUCACUACAUCCCACAGACUGGGAUGGAAAGGUGUCUGAGAUUAAGAAGAAGAUCAAGUCGAUCCUGCCUGGAAGGUCCUGUGAUCUACUGCAAGACACCAGCCACCUGCCCCCCGAGCACUCGGAUGUGGUGAUCGUGGGAGGUGGGGUGCUUGGCUUGUCUGUGGCCUAUUGGCUGAAGAAGCUGGAGAGCAGACGAGGUGCUAUUCGAGUGCUAGUGGUGGAACGGGACCACACGUAUUCACAGGCCUCCACUGGGCUCUCAGUAGGUGGGAUUUGUCAGCAGUUCUCAUUGCCUGAGAACAUCCAGCUCUCCCUCUUUUCAGCCAGCUUUCUACGGAAUAUCAAUGAGUACCUGGCCGUAGUCGAUGCCCCUCCCUUGGACCUCCGGUUCAGCCCCUCAGGCUACCUCUUGCUGGCUUCAGAAAAGGAUGCUGCAGCCAUGGAGAGCAACGUGAAAGUGCAGAGGCAGGUGGGAGCCAAAAUUUCUCUGAUGUCUCCUGAUCAGCUUCGGAACAAGUUUCCCUGGAUAAACACAGAGGGAGUGGCUUUGGCAUCUUACGGGAUGGAGGACGAAGGUUGGUUUGACCCCUGGUGUCUGCUCCAGGGCCUUCGGCGAAAGGUCCAGUCCUUGGGAGUCCUUUUCUGCCAGGGAGAGGUGACACGUUUUGUCUCUUCAUCUCAACGCAUGUUGACCACAGAUGACAAAGCGGUGGUCUUGAAAAGGAUCCAUAAAGUC
Molecule: small RNA, 1034 nt
Filed under: Pongo abelii (Sumatran orangutan)
Lineage: Eukaryota; Metazoa; Chordata; Mammalia; Primates; Hominidae
Description: retained intron
Source: RNAcentral